Molecule: ribosomal RNA, 892 nt
Filed under: Salmonella enterica subsp. enterica serovar Agona
Lineage: Bacteria; Pseudomonadati; Pseudomonadota; Gammaproteobacteria; Enterobacterales; Enterobacteriaceae
Description: partial 23S ribosomal RNA
Rfam family: Bacterial large subunit ribosomal RNA
Source: RNAcentral
GGGUUGUGAGGUUAAGCGACUAAGCGUACACGGUGGAUGCCCUGGCAGUCAGAGGCGAUGAAGGGCGUGCUAAUCUGCGAUAAGCGCCGGUAAGGUGAUAUGAACCGUUAUAACCGGCGAUACCCGAAUGGGGAAACCCAGUGUGACUCGUCACACUAUCAUUAACUGAAUCCAUAGGUUAAUGAGGCGAACCGGGGGAACUGAAACAUCUAAGUACCCCGAGGAAAAGAAAUCAACCGAGAUUCCCCCAGUAGCGGCGAGCGAACGGGGAGGAGCCCAGAGCCUGAAUCAGCAUGUGUGUUAGUGGAAGCGUCUGGAAAGGCGCGCGAUACAGGGUGACAGCCCCGUACACAAAAGCGCAUGUGCUGUGAGCUCGAUGAGUAGGGCGGGACACGUGGUAUCCUGUCUGAAUAUGGGGGGACCAUCCUCCAAGGCUAAAUACUCCUGACUGACCGAUAGUGAACCAGUACCGUGAGGGAAAGGCGAAAAGAACCCCGGCGAGGGGAGUGAAAAAGAACCUGAAACCGUGUACGUACAAGCAGUGGGAGCACAGGUUUACCUGUGUGACUGCGUACCUUUUGUAUAAUGGGUCAGCGACUUAUAUUCUGUAGCAAGGUUAACCGAAUAGGGGAGCCGGAGGGAAACCGAGUCUUAAUUGGGCGUUAAGUUGCAGGGUAUAGACCCGAAACCCGGUGAUCUAGCCAUGGGCAGGUUGAAGGUUGGGUAACACUAACUGGAGGACCGAACCGACUAAUGUUGAAAAAUUAGCGGAUGACCUGUGGCUGGGGGUGAAAGGCCAAUCAAACCGGGAGAUAGCUGGUUCUCCCCGAAAGCUAUUUAGGUAGCGCCUCGUGAAUUCAUCUCCGGGGGUAGAGCACUGUUUCGGCUAGGG